UUUUUCUCUUUGCACGUGUGUUUGUUUUGAUAUUUUGGGUUUUAAAGAAAGUUUUAUUCUUGAAUAAUUAUCAUAAAUGUAUAGUACGUUUACUUAGAUAUAUAUGCAGUGAAUUCAAGAGUAACAUGUGAAGACUAUAAUGAAAUCGUAAAUCUUGAAGAUCAGUCUACAGUAUACAUUUCAAAUGCCUUCAUCCUGUUUUAUUCAAAGGGUCAUGAUUUCAGUUCAGUAUUGGGUGUGAAAGCAAAUUUGUAUGUUUUUUGAAAGGCUCCAUUCUUUUACAGUGGCAGAUACAACCUUUUACUAUGAAGCCAAUGUUUUUUUACUGACCUGGGAAAAUGAACAUGACUAAUGAAAUCUACAGUAAUAAGGAAAUUUGCAGAAACAUUUCUAAUAUUAGUAGCUUCUAUUUGAAUAUAUUUUUUAAAUUCUUCCUGCUUUAAGGCCAAAUAAAUGAAACAUGUUUGAUGUUUCCUUGUUUCAUGCGGCUAUCUCUUGUUGUUACUGGCAAAACACAAAGGCAAUCUUGUAGAAAUGCUCAUAUUGUCAGCAAUUUAUCAGACCUGCCAACUCACCCGAUCCUGUCGGGUGUCACCCGAUAUCUAAACAAAUCUCCAGUUCUCCCAGAUCGAAUGUAGUUUUUAACCGAUUUCACUGAUUUUGCAGGUUCCAUCCGCAAAAUACUCUGAUUUAUGCAUAAAUGAUUUAUUGGAUCAUUAUUAUCCAAUGUAUUCGCCUCGAUACACAAGCAGCAAUUUAAUAAGUUGUUUUGCAGUAAUUUUGUACCAUUGAUUUUAUACCACUAUGAUUUGUCUGGACGUGUCUUUUUUAGUACAUUGGAUCAUCUUUUUGGUAAUACUGGAAACCUCCAGAUUUUUUAGUAAAUCUCCAGAUUUUUUUAAGAUUUAAAAAAAAGAUUUUCAUGACCCAGGGGUUGGCAGAUCUGAUUUAUGCUCAUAUUGUCAUUAGCCAUUUAUGCUCAUACUGUAGUGUCAGCAAAUUGUGCUCACAUUGUCAGCAACUUAUACUCAUAUUGUCAGUAACUUGUGUCAUAUUGUCAGCAACUUAUGCUCAUAUUGUCAGCAACUCUUAUCCUUAUAUUGUCAGCAACUUACACUCAUGUUGUAAUAGUAAUUUUUAUGCUCAUAUUGUCAGCAACUUAUCCUCAUUGUCAGCAAAUUAUGCUCAUAUUGUCAAUAACGUAUAUUGCUCAUAUUGUCAGCACAUUUGCUCAUGUUGUCAGCAAAUUAUGCUCAUAUUGUCAACAACCUAUGCUAAUAUUGUCAGCAACUUAUGCUCAUAUUGUAUUGUCCUGGUAUUAUAGAGAAGCGAAAUCCAAAGACAAUAUUAAUGAAGUUUCUCAAUUUUUUUCCUCUCAUAAAUCAUCCUCAAAUUAAAUGAUACAAAUGCUCUAAAAUGCAAGUAUUACAGUAUCCUCAAGUGUCUGUAUCUGAUGACAAAAAACAAAAACAAGACAUUAAAAAAACAAUCAUUCUAAAACCAUGUACAGACUAAUCAAAUUUUAUUUGACAAAAACAUGUGAUAUGCCUAAAUAUGGUCAUGAUGACAUCACAUCAUGGGAAUGCAACAGUUUUUUAAGUUACUGCACUAUUAGCCUCUAUUAUUACAUCCACUGUAAGCAGUCAUUUUAUACAUAUAAACAUGUACUAAAUCAUCACAAUAAACAUUAUUAGAUUUUUCUAUGCAAAGUCAAUCAUUGGUAUUAAAUAGCAGUCGCUCUCAGUAAACAUAUAUUAAAUUUGUAGCGUAUGGAGACUCGCUUCCUGGAAGCUAAACAAUGAAGGAAAAUUAAUUCCAUAAUAAACAAAGCUAUCAAAGUACAGAUACUGAAUUAUUUAAACAGAUACUGAAAUUAAUUUUAGCAGUGUCUUUCUUGGAAAUUAUCGGCUAUCAAAGGGAUACUGCUGUUCAACUAUUAAACUAUUCAACUAUUAAGGAAAACAAAGGAGAGCAAUGCAUUUUUAAUGCUUAUUUGAAUAUUUUUAUAUCCUCUAAAUACCUUUUAAAUUAAAUUUGCUCAUUUAUUGAUUUUUACACAUUUUUCUAUAUUUCAAUAUUUAUCUUUCGAUUUUUUUUCUUUUUGAAGAAUGUUGUAUUGUAAGUAUUUGUGUUUUUCUCGUGAAGGGCCUCCACUCGACAGUGAUUGAUUUUAUUUUGGAAUGUCCUGUCUCUUUUUUUGUACUUUUAUGAUUGUUCUUUGCCGUUUCUGUUAUAUGUACAUUUUAA
Molecule: long non-coding RNA, 2247 nt
Filed under: Anneissia japonica
Lineage: Eukaryota; Metazoa; Echinodermata; Crinoidea; Comatulida; Comatulidae
Description: uncharacterized LOC117103877, transcript variant X2
Source: RNAcentral